Oncorhynchus mykiss (rainbow trout) is the source of this 1224-nucleotide non-coding RNA. The record is from RefSeq and is a predicted model, not a curated record. Lineage: Eukaryota; Metazoa; Chordata; Actinopteri; Salmoniformes; Salmonidae.
CACACACAUGCACAUUUUCACGCCCAUGAGGGCCUUAGUCUUAGGCAUGGCCAUGACAAUACCAGUAAGAGGAAGCUCCUCUGUUUCUGCCUAAAUACAGAGAAGGAGUGUCUAUCUUAGAUAGGAGAUGAUAUGGGAUGACUCCGCCUAUUUGGAAGAAAUGAAGAUGUGCUUGUGGGACUUGUAUGUUGUCUUUGCAGCUUUAUGACUCAGUGGUUGAAUAAACUUGGUUUGAGCUUUUUCUAGUCGCCCGUGAGUUUUCUACAGAACCUAACAGUUGCCAAUGUUGACAGGAUUAACCAAUAUUUAUAGCUGAAUUGGAGAGUUCAAAUCAGUAGAACAGGAGCCAGCACAUAAAAACAAGGUUAUGGCAAUAGCGACCCCAGACCGUAUCUAGAUGCAUGGAAGGGAUUAUUCGACCGAGAACAGUGUGAGCCUUACCCCCUCUAACCGGCAGAAGAAAUUGAGACAAUGAUGUUCACUAUGACCCUGUCCUCCACCACCUCUACCUGAGACAUGAGUCCGAGCCAGCAAACGGUGUACAGCAUCCAGUCGAAGCUAUCAAUGCCUUUUCUCUCAGGAGCGCAGCAUGAGUCCUGAGACCGUCCAUGUGGAGUGAGCAUGGAGAGAGAUCAUGUCCAAACUUAUCUCAUGUUGCUGGUGUACUGGUUGGAAAAUGGACAAGACAGAAAUGGACAAUACAGAAUGGACCGUAAAGGUUGGUGGUGAGACAUUUGUGUGCUUUGUCUGCUUGGGAAAAUCAGAUUAUUCCCCAGAUAUUGAAAUCGGGGACAUUAUCAAGGGCCAUCCACUUUGACAGGCAUGAGUUACAUGUGUGCCAUUGGGAGGAUGAACUGUAAAGCUAUCCAAUGAAGAAAAUGAAGAGACGCCGGACGAAUGAGAGCCGGGAUGGAGGGGAGUGAUCACUGUUCCAGAUGAGGGACUGUUGGAAACUGACUAAUUGACUUGAGCACGUUUUAGUAUGUUUAUAACUAUAUAAGUGGCCUAGCAGUAGUGAUCAACGUGUUAUGGGUUAGAUGGAUUGAUCUAUGUGCAAAUGUAUUUGUGGCCAGAGGCAAAGUACAAAGGGGGCCUGUCUCUGAGACAGAAUGUUUCCAUACGGGUGAGAUAGGAGUCAUAUGAUAGAGCUAAUACUAUAGAUUGUGAACUAUUGCCUUUUAACAGGUCUUAUAGCUUCCCUGUUUUAAAUUAUUGUAUUCUCUC